CCUACGGGUGGCUGCAGUGGGGAAUAUUGGGCAAUGGGCGCAAGCCUGACGCAGCAACGCCGCGUGAAGGAAGAAGGCCCUCGGGUUGUAAACUUCUUUUAUUCGGGACGAAACAAAUGACGGUACCGAAUGAAUAAGCCACGGCUAACUACGUCCCAGCAGCGGCGGUACUACGUAGGGGGCAAGCGUUAUCCGGUUUUACGGGGUGUAAAGGGCGUGGAGGCGGGGGAGCAAGUCGGAAGGGAACUCCCGGGGCCCAACCGGGGAACUGGGUUUGAAACGGUUCUGCUUGAGUGAGGGAGAGGCAAGCGGAAUUCGUGGUGUAGCGGUGAAAGGGGUAGAUAACAGGAGGAAAAC
RNAcentral lists this ribosomal RNA (357 nucleotides) under uncultured bacterium. Its description in RNAcentral is "partial 16S ribosomal RNA". It matches the Rfam family "Bacterial small subunit ribosomal RNA", at positions 338 to 709 of the family's 1533-position model. The record is from RNAcentral.